CUUUAGCAUACUAGCUAGCCUGCUGUAGUUCGUUUUUAGCUAGCAACAAAAUAUGAAGCUCUGUAGCGAUUAGCUUGAAUUAACUAAUCUCAUCAUCUCAACAUCGUUGCUGCUAAUCAAACUAAUUAUGACACAGCUUCCACAGCUAAUGAGGCUCAUUACACACACAGUAGGCUCACUGUCACAAUGACUGACGUGAACGUCGUUCAUGUGAUCACUAUCACACCUGCUCAAACAUGACAACAUGACAACAUGACAACGGCUGCUGCUGCUGCUGCUGCUGCUGCAGAACAAAAGGGUACACUGUGGCUGGGAAAACAUAACAGCACUGUCUCCUGCCUCACCACACGUGAGCUGGAUGUCGUCAGACGUGACCGGACACAUUGUUUAAGUCAUUCUCUUUGUCUUUUCAGAUCUCAGUGCGGAGGAAGCUCAUCAAACACUGCUGCGACUUUUAUAGUGUCCACGAUAGCAAUAAUCUAAUAAUCUAUAAGUGUCCACUCGUUAGAUUAGGCCCUCACAUUACCAUACGUCCACGAUAGCAAUAAUCUAAUAAUCUAUAAGUGUCCACUCGUUAGAUUAGGCCCUCACAUUACCAUACGUCCACGAUAGCAAUAAUAUCACAUGACCAUUCUGUGAUAAUCAAUAUACGAUCAUAUAGCGAUACAUCACCAUAUGUGAUGAAGAAACCAAACCUGCACGAGGAAGAGCAUUCACUCACCACCACAGUUCCUACAUGGGGUUUAUGUGUUCUUUAACCUCUGUGUUGUGGCGCACACGCGUGUUGUGGCGCACACGCGUGCUGUGAAAGAUUGUCAGACAGCUCAUGUAAAGUGUAUGGCUGCAUUACCGGUGAAGGGCCACUGGGUUUAGAGAGAUGUAUGGUGCAUUCCAAUAACACCUGGGAGUGAUGUGUUGAUCAUGAAUGAUCGUCGGAAAGAAAACUUUUAUCCAUGGAUUGAAAUGAAAGAGUACUUUGUGUACAACUCACUUAAUGUGAAACAAAUAAG
Long non-coding RNA from Solea solea (common sole), 1010 nucleotides. RefSeq lists it as uncharacterized. The record is from RefSeq and is a predicted model, not a curated record. NCBI's taxonomy places the organism in Eukaryota, Metazoa, Chordata, Actinopteri, Pleuronectiformes, Soleidae. The transcript has 3 exons.